GUGUGAGUGGUGAUUGGAUGGCAUGGGUUGGCAGGCUCCUUGCUUUGUGCGUUGAACUGUUGGCGCUCCGUCCGCUUCAAUCUUUUUUCCCCAAGCGAUUUUCUUGGCUUGUGGGUUCGUUUGGUAUCCUGUGUUGCUUACCCACGUAUGGGAAUUGAUCGGUUUUGGUGCUCUCAUCUGCCCAGUGCCUUUUGGGGUGCGGGGUAGACGCGAGGCGGGCUUCAUGUUCCCGGCGUGCUUCGUGCGAAGUUGCGUGGCCGUCUUGGCCCGUGGAGUCUCUGCUCGUGCUCUCGGAUGCGGAAUGUUUCUGCGUGGGUGUGGGGCCUCGGCCUUGAUCCGCUUAAGCUUUACGCAUUUGUCCUUUGACACGGAUGACGGCCGCUCCCGUGUCGAUCCCUCCAUAUGGGUCGUGCGGGUGUCGGCGUCUCCAAGGAAUGC
RNAcentral lists this unclassified non-coding RNA (438 nucleotides) under Ruagea insignis. RNAcentral describes it as "partial external transcribed spacer". Lineage: Eukaryota; Viridiplantae; Streptophyta; Magnoliopsida; Sapindales; Meliaceae. The record is from RNAcentral.